CAUUGCGCCUUCGCGGACCUCCGUGGAGGCACGUUCGGCUGAGCGUCGC
Molecule: ribosomal RNA, 49 nt
Filed under: Haliclona tubifera
Lineage: Eukaryota; Metazoa; Porifera; Demospongiae; Haplosclerida; Chalinidae
Description: partial 5.8S ribosomal RNA
Source: RNAcentral